CGGCGCCGCACCGAACGAGGCCUCAUCCAUCUUCUUCUCCGCUUGGCCGGUGUGGUGCCUCUUCCAGAUACGAUCCUGCCCGUAUAAUUUCUCUACAAAAUCCGUUUGGAGGAGCUGCGAGGGCGACCUCCUCCUUCCGAAGCUGCUGCCUACCGCGGUAUCUUCCCCGCCCCCAAAUCGCCCCACACCAUGACGUACUUCACCAAGCCGAGCUCCUCCUUGACGGCGGCCAUGGAUGUGGUCGAUUAAUCCCCUCUGCAGUUCCUCUCUGUCUUGGUCGUCCUCGAGGUGGUCAGGUCGUUCAUCCCUGCUGCAGUUCCUCGCGGUAGCUGGUCGACCACGUCAACCUCUCCUGCGUGAUCUUCGGCAGGUGCAGCGCCGGCGCAAAUCUCGCGCAUGGCAGAUGGCAUCGCGGACAUCCAGAGGUUUCAUGAACCUUACCUGGAGGUUCAUCUUCCCAGCCUCGCUGGGCCGGAUGACCCGCUCGUGGACCUGUUCGGCAAAGAAGAUGCACGUUGCUCUGGCCAAAAUCCUGUGCGCUGGGUGCUGCCUUGUGGAGCAGAGUCACGCCUUCAGAUGCCAAUCCCCAUAUCCUACUCUUCCCAGUGCUAUGUCUCCUCUUGCUGUUCGUCGGUAAGAUCGAUGAUGGAUUCGGGGGAUCUUGGACAGCGAUGACCUGCGACUGAUGACAAGAAGCAGUUGGGUCGUUCUCGGCGCCACCGUUCGGUGCGGACGCGAUUACAUGUCACUGCUAUAAUUUCAGGCUGUUUGCUCUUCUAAAUUAUGUGCGAUUCACCUUUUUUUUAAUGCUGAUGCUAUGCUUACAUGUCACUGCUACUGCUAUAUUUUCAGGUUCUCUGCUCUUCUUCAUGAUUCAUGUAUUACUAGGUCUUUUGGAAGAUUGAAAGAAACAUGGAGUUGCUCUUAUGGUACAAUACUACAGCUUGCUCUACUUGGUGGUGAAGGCUAAAGCGAUGACAUGUAUGAUUCGUGUUAUUUCAAUUUCAGUGGAUGCUGAAUAUUCUCACUUAAUGCAGGUUAGGGAAAGUGGGACAUACAGCUGUCGCUACUAAAUGACGUAUCGCCUCGACGAUUCCAAUGGAAGGUCUUCGUGCGUGUUUCUUGGAUCUGGGAAUUCAACGAUCUGCAAACAAGACAGAAUGUACAUGAACUAUACUACAUUGUUGUACACCAUGAGGAUGGCUGGCCUUCAAGUGCAGGUGCAAACUUACCAGUAUGGUGUGAGUGUUUGUUCUCUUGGCCUCUUGCGAUAUUUGGUGGAUGCAUACUCUGUACUCAAUUGGUUAAAGUUUUCUUUGUUUGAUACUUUGUUCCAGGAUGCACUCUCUCAUGAAGGAAUCAAAUUUCAUAUGCUCAAGGUUUUGGUGGCUAGAAAAUCUAGGCGUUUUCUUCUGAAUUGGUGUUGCUUAUCUGAAAUGUUGCAUUCCCAGAUCGAGCAAUUGCAGGAUCAGGGCCAUAUUCAGGUUCUUAACUGAAGCCUCCUGCGGUUGAUGGUCCCAGAUCCUCAAGCCUCAACACUUGGACUAUCUGUAAGAGAUGGUUCAUUCCCAGGCACGGUGGACUCAGUAUGGAUAAAAUACUUACACUCUACUUCAUGUACUCUUCUAUCCGAUGUGCUGAGAACUACCUGUUUUAGUUCUAAUCUUUGUGAUGUGUGUGUGUGUAUGUCCCUGCACUAAAUAAGUAUAUUGUAAGUUGCGCUUAACUAGCCUACUGCCUUCACAGUAUUUGUUCUUCAGUUUUCAGUUACCAAUCGACCACUGAUGGGUAAUUUUACUGAAAUGAACGAACUGAAAGUGUUUAGGGUGGAAUAACUAUUUUCUUCU
Long non-coding RNA from Lolium rigidum, 1847 nucleotides. RefSeq lists it as uncharacterized. NCBI's taxonomy places the organism in Eukaryota, Viridiplantae, Streptophyta, Magnoliopsida, Poales, Poaceae. The record is from RefSeq and is a predicted model, not a curated record. The transcript has 2 exons.